This is a long non-coding RNA of Dendrobium catenatum, 582 nucleotides long. RefSeq lists it as uncharacterized. The record is from RefSeq and is a predicted model, not a curated record. NCBI's taxonomy places the organism in Eukaryota, Viridiplantae, Streptophyta, Magnoliopsida, Asparagales, Orchidaceae. The transcript is spliced from 4 exons.
AGAGAUAAAUAAACAAGGGAAGUAGCUUUAUGUCCUGGUGAUCCCUCCCUCUUCUAUCUAUUUUUCUCAGACAUUUUCACUUGUGCUUUGAAAUCAUGUUCAGACAAAGAGAUAAAAUGAUGUAGGCUGUUUGCUUUGAUGAUUUUUUAAGGUGCCAUGAUACUUUUGAUCAUCUUCUUUUAUGUGUGGAUGUUAAUUUUUUUCGUUCUCUCUCUUCUUCUAUUCAUCUGUUUCUUUGAAAGAUAUGGGAUGUUGCAACUGGAAGAUUGAAACUCACAUUGACGGGACAUAUUGAGCAAAUCCGAGGACUUGCUGUGAGUCAACGCCAUACGUAUCUGUUCUCUGCUGGUGAUGACAAACAAGUUAAAUGUUGGGACCUUGAACAGAAUAAGGUAAUUCGAUCUUAUCAUGGACACCUCAGUGGUGUUUAUUGCUUAGCUCUUCAUCCAACAAUUGAUAUUUUGUUGACUGGAGGCCGUGAUUCUGUUUGUCGGGUCUGGGAUAUCCGUACUAAGGCUAUGGUCUGUGCUUUAUCAGGGCAUGAUAACACUGUCUGCUCAGUUUUUUCUCGACCUACGGUAU